This is a long non-coding RNA of Alnus glutinosa, 1260 nucleotides long. RefSeq lists it as uncharacterized. NCBI's taxonomy places the organism in Eukaryota, Viridiplantae, Streptophyta, Magnoliopsida, Fagales, Betulaceae. The transcript has 2 exons. The record is from RefSeq and is a predicted model, not a curated record.
UCCUCACCUUUCGGGAUGACCUGUAAUUGCCGUUAUUGGCGUGCACGUCAGAGCGCGACUUAAGUAAUUAAAAUUUCAAACUAAGCCUUGUUUGUUCAACGACAAUGCAGAACAGCAUCGUGCGGCUGGAUCUUACUUUCAUUGUUCCUAGUCAACAUUUCAGUUUAAAUUUCUUUCAUCACAUGGUGCGCUUCUUUUAAUGUCUCCAUGCAGUUUUGAUGUAAGUUUUGUUCCUAUUCUGCCCUCAAAUCAAAACCGCUGCAGCAGUGGGGAGCUUGCAUAUCGCUGCUUUCUUCCUUUUCCUUCUGAAACACCCAGUCUCCUCCUCACGAGCCCCUGCAAUUGAUUCGGCCAAGGAAAAUCUCAACCAGGAAUGCAAUCUACUCCGUACCUGGUAGAUUUGACGGAGCUGUUGGAAGAACAGGACAGAGACGUUAAUGCCCCACCGCCCAAAGGAAAUUUAUAGAAAUUUCCUUACUUCAUGCGGAGAAGACAACAGACAAAAAGAAGAACAUUUUGGCCGGCAUCAACCCGUGGGAGAGUCGGAGGAGGAGGCGGCAGGGUGCUUAUGCCUCCCACAGUUUCUCCUACUAGAGCAACGGCACAUAUACAGGAACGCAAAUUGGAAGAAAGCAACGAAGAUUGGCAAGUCAAAGAGGGCUAUCCGACCAGGAACGCAAUCCACCACAGAGGAAGAUUGACAAGUCAAAGAGGGCUACCUCCCCAACACGAAGCCAGCCAGCAAGUAAACGUUCCGCAGAAGAUGCCGCAGUUGUGGAGAAAUGGACUAGCAAAUUAGACUGGAUGCGUGAGCAUUUCGAGUCCUUCUACGUCCACUCAUUAGGCGGCUCAAGCCGGAGCAACUCUGGUUCUAGUCAUCCCCAGGUCCAGCAGAUCCAACCUAGCUCCCCUCCAGUCGCACAGGACCCUUUAGCUGUGGCCAUGCCAAUUAUUAAUAAAAUGAGGGAUCAACUUGGAUUGGACUCGGUCACAUACGUAAAAGUGUGCAAAUUCAUUGUAGCCCAACCACUAAUGGCUACCAUGUUCAUUCACAUGGAUGAAGACGGACAACGACAAUGGCUACUUGAAUUUAAGGACUUAGGGGAUGCAUGAGUUCCACUAUUUCAUCUUAUUAUGCAGUUAUUAUGUUGUAUAUUUAUUAUCUACAUGGACAUCAUAUCACUACUAACUGAACUUCUGAACUUCUUAGUUUAUUUAUCAUUUUAUCGAGAGAGUACUUGUUUUCCCUCGUAUUCAAAA